Mauremys mutica (yellowpond turtle) is the source of this 680-nucleotide long non-coding RNA. RefSeq lists it as uncharacterized. The record is from RefSeq and is a predicted model, not a curated record. Lineage: Eukaryota; Metazoa; Chordata; Testudines; Geoemydidae. The transcript has 6 exons.
AGCUACCCAAAUUGCCAACUCUAGAUCAAGGACCUGUGAGGAGUAAUAUGUCUACUCUACAACUGAGUAACAAUAUACCCAUUUGGAAGUAGCUGUGUUUUCCCUAAGCCUGGCUGACUCAUCUCUCUCUGCAGUAGGUUACGUGCCCAAAUCUUUUUAAUCCUGUCAAAAGUGAAGUUGGUGAAUGGAGGCACUGGGCUGAUAAGAUAUCUAUGGUGUCUGGCUCUGGCUAACACUGAAAGGGAAAGGGACACGACCCUAUGAAGAGACACAUCUCUCAGCAUUAGACAAAUUAGAGAAUACAUGCUUUGAAGUGAAGGAAAGGCGAUCUCUCAGCAACAGUAACACAAGUGGCUGCAUUUCCUGAUUCUGGAUUAAGUUCAAGAUUUCAAAUACGACUGGACUCGUUUCUGAUUAGAAAGUUUGAUAUUUAUCGUAGACUUUCCUGUCUUCCGUAUCCAAUGGGAGUGAGAUUGUAAAAAGCACAGCCAUGCACUGCAGGAUGUACCUGGGGUCAUGUUGCAGCAGGAGGAAUACUAGAUUACCACCCAGAAUGCCUCUUCGAGCUCAAGAAAAGGAUCCACUACAGCAGGAGCUCUGCCAUGCUUUAAGUGAUACAGCGUAUGUUCCUCACACAACAAACUAGCUCUGUGAGCUGGUGCUAAGAGAUGAUCCAGCUA